GAUGAACGCUGGCGGCGUGCUUAACACAUGCAAGUCGAACGGAAGGGCCAGUGCUUGCACUGGUACUCGAGUGGCGAACGGGUGAGUAACACGUGGGUGAUCUGCCCUGCACUUCGGGAUAAGCCUGGGAAACUGGGUCUAAUACCGGAUAGGACAAUGGUUUGGAUGCCGUUGUGGAAAGUUUUUUCGGUGUGGGAUGAGCUCGCGGCCUAUCAGCUUGUUGGUGGGGUAAUGGCCUACCAAGGCGUCGACGGGUAGCCGGCCUGAGAGGGUGUACGGCCACAUUGGGACUGAGAUACGGCCCAGACUCCUACGGGAGGCAGCAGUGGGGAAUAUUGCACAAUGGGCGCAAGCCUGAUGCAGCGACGCCGCGUGGGGGAUGACGGCCUUCGGGUUGUAAACUCCUUUCGCUAGGGACGAAGCGUAUUUGUGACGGUACCUGGAGAAGAAGCACCGGCUAACUACGUG
RNAcentral lists this ribosomal RNA (468 nucleotides) under uncultured bacterium. RNAcentral describes it as "partial 16S ribosomal RNA". It matches the Rfam family "Bacterial small subunit ribosomal RNA", at positions 28 to 507 of the family's 1533-position model. The record is from RNAcentral.